RNAcentral lists this ribosomal RNA (253 nucleotides) under uncultured bacterium. RNAcentral describes it as "partial 16S ribosomal RNA". It matches the Rfam family "Bacterial small subunit ribosomal RNA", at positions 524 to 776 of the family's 1533-position model. The record is from RNAcentral.
UACGAAGGGGGCUAGCGUUGUUCGGAAUCACUGGGCGUAAAGCGCACGCAGGCGGAUUGAUAAGUCAGGGGUGAAAUCCCGGAGCUCAACUUCGGAAUUGCCUUUGAUACUGUCAAUCUCGAGUCCGGGAGAGGUGAGUGGAAUUCCUAGUGUAGAGGUGAAAUUCGUAGAUAUUCGCAAGAACACCAGUGGCGAAGGCGGCUCACUGGCCCGGUACUGACGUUGAGGUGCGAAAGCGUGGGGAGCAAACAGG